Molecule: ribosomal RNA, 253 nt
Filed under: uncultured bacterium
Lineage: Bacteria
Description: partial 16S ribosomal RNA
Rfam family: Bacterial small subunit ribosomal RNA
Source: RNAcentral
UACGUAGGUGGCAAGCGUUGUCCGGAUUUACUGGGCGUAAAGAGCGCGCAGGCGGUCGUUCAAGUCGCGUGUGAAAGCCCCCGGCUCAACUGGGGAGGGUCACGCGAUACUGAUCGACUCGAAAGCAGGAGAGGGAAGUGGAAUUCCCGGUGUAGUGGUGAAAUGCGUAGAUAUCGGGAGGAACACCAGUGGCGAAGGCGGGUCUCUGGACAGUUCCUGACGCUGAGGCACGAAGGUCAGGGGAGCAAACGGG